Molecule: ribosomal RNA, 781 nt
Filed under: uncultured bacterium
Lineage: Bacteria
Description: bacterial SSU rRNA
Rfam family: Bacterial small subunit ribosomal RNA
Source: RNAcentral
AUUGCGAAGGCAGCUUUCUGGAUCAUUACUGACACUGAGGAACGAAAGCAUGGGUAGCGAAGAGGAUUAGAUACCCUCGUAGUCCAUGCCGUAAACGAUGUGUGUUAGACGUUGGAAAUUUAUUUUCAGUGUCGCAGGGAAACCGAUAAACACACCGCCUGGGGAGUACGACCGCAAGGUUAAAACUCAAAUGAAUUGACGGGGACCCGCACAAGUAGUGGAGCAUGUGGUUUAAUUCGAAGAUACGCGCAGAACCUUACCAACACUUGACAUGUUCGUCGCGACUCUAAGAGAUUAGAGUUUUCGGUUCGGCCGGACGAAACACAGGUGCUGCAUGGCUGUCGUCAGCUCGUGUCGUGAGAUGUUGGGUUAAGUCCCGCAACGAGCGCAACCCUCACUUUUAGUUGCCAUCAUUAAGUUGGGCACUCUGAAAGAACUGCCAGUGAUAAGCUGGAGGAAGGUGGGGAUGACGUCAAGUCCUCAUGGCCCUUACGUGUUGGGCUACACACGUGCUACAAUGGCAUCUACAACAGGAAGCAAAACGGCAACGUUAAGCAAAUCCCGAAAAGAUGCCUCAGUUCGGAUUGCACUCUGCAACUCGAGUGCAUGAAGCUGGAAUUACUAGUAAUCGUGGAUCAGCGUGCCACGGUGAAUGCGUUCCCGGGUCUUGUACACACCGCCCGUCACACCAUGGGAGUUGGUUCUACCUUAAGGCAAGGUUUCAAACCCUUGACCACGGUAUAGUCAGCGACUGGGGUGAAGUCGUAACAAGGUAACCGUA